CACCGCUUCGGUGGUGAGUGGCGAACGGGUGAGUAAUACAUAAGUAACCUGGCCUUUCGAGGGGGAUAACUAUUGGAAACGAUAGCUAAGACCGCAUAGGCAUAAUUCUCGCAUGAGAGUUAUGUUAAAUAUCCUAUGGGAUAGCGAGAGGAUGGACUUAUGGCGCAUUAGCUAGUUGGUGAGGGUAACGGCCCACCAAGGCGACGAUGCGUAGCCGACCUGAGAGGGUGGACGGCCACACUGGGACUGAGACACGGCCCAGACUCCUACGGGAGGCAGCAGUAGGGAAUUUUCGGCAAUGGGCGAAAGCCUGACCGAGCAACGCCGCGUGAGGGAGGAAGUAUUUCGGUAUGUAAACCACUGUUAUAAAGGAAGAACGGCGCAUGUAGGGAAUGACAUGCGAGUGACGGUACUUUAUGAGAAAGCCACGGCUAACUACGUGCCAGCAGCCGCGGUAAUACGUAGGUGGCGAGCGUUAUCCGGAAUCAUUGGGCGUAAGGAGGGAGCAGGCGGCAACUAGGGUCUGCGGUAAAAGACCGAAGCUAAACUUCGGUAAGCCGUGGAAACCGAGGAGCUAGAGUGCAGUAGAGGAUCGUGGAAUUCCAUGUGUAGCGGUGAAAUGCGUAGAUAUAUGGAGGAACACCAGUGGCGAAGGCGACGAUCUGGGCUGCAACUGACGCUCAGUCCCGAAAGCGUGGGGAGCAAAUA
RNAcentral lists this ribosomal RNA (708 nucleotides) under uncultured bacterium. RNAcentral's name for it is "bacterial SSU rRNA". It matches the Rfam family "Bacterial small subunit ribosomal RNA", at positions 69 to 774 of the family's 1533-position model. The record is from RNAcentral.